Molecule: long non-coding RNA, 1296 nt
Organism: Molossus molossus (Pallas's mastiff bat)
Lineage: Eukaryota; Metazoa; Chordata; Mammalia; Chiroptera; Molossidae
Exons: 5
Source: RefSeq, a predicted model, not a curated record
UCUGCCAUUGUUUUACGUUCAUGAGUCUUACCUCCUCAUCUGGAAUGUAAGUUUCUUGGAGUUUGUGUUUCUAUAGCACUUAGAUUCAUGCUGAAUGGAGUUCACUAGGCACUUCCAGGUAUAGCUGCUAGGUUGCAUCCUUGUCCCACUUGCUGAGAUAGGACACUUAUGUUUGCCGCUUACUGGGGCCUCAGCUCGUACUAAGCCAGGAUACUAAGAUGGAGUGCCCUGGUAAAAUGAAGAAAAGGGACAGACUCUUUUAAUCUAACACACCUGAGUCUUGCUAGAAAAAGCAGCCAGCUUUAGCAUGUGUUGUUACCGGUCCAGUGUAACUAACAAUCUCCCACCCGUAAAACUUAGUGACUUAAAACAACAUUUUAAGUCAACCAUUUAUUAGCUCAUGAAUCUGCCUUCUGGGAUGGGCUCAGGUGGGUGAUUUUGCUGCACAUUAUUGCCUGGUGCAGUCCGAUGGGAGCCCAUCUUGGGAGGGAAAAGAUGGCCUCUCUCAUGUGGGAAGCAGGGUGUAUUGGCCAUCAGCAGGAGUCUCUCCGCUCUCCAUGGAACCCCUUCUUUUUUUUGUAGGCCAGACUGCUUCUUAACAUCAUGGCAGCUGGGUUCCAAGAGGCCUUUAUUGCCAAGGCAUAGGAGUUAUUCAAUGUCAGUUCUGCAUUGUGUUGGCUAAACAAGUCACAGGACCUAGCAGGACUCAGCAGAAGGAUGUGGACCCCAUCUCUUGAUGUGGAUGGGAGGGACUGUUGUGGCAGUUUUAGAAGCAAACCACCUCAUCAAGAAAGGCAUGUCUUUUAGAAAUGUCACUGUGAAAUAGUCCAAGAGGGCCCAUUUUCCUGUAUGUGACACUCUACCUCCACCAUCCCCCCAGCUCAUCAGACCAGCUCAUCUCCUCCAGUGCCAUGGCCUUAACACAGGUGGAACUAAUGGACAACCUGAGCCAGAAGCUCAUGGUUUGGGCUGGAAUUGGUGGAAAGAUGGGAUACAGGUUAAACAAGUGUCUUGAUGGAUUUUACGAAUUUCACGCUAACAUGAAAAAAAAAUAAAACUAGACCAACAACCAUUCACAAGGAUAAACUUAAAAUGGAUAAAAGACUUAAAUAAUAUAACAAAGCGACAGAAAUUUAUAUUAUUGGCAACCUCAUUUUUAGCAAUUUAUUUACGAAGAGGCACAGUACCAAAAAUGUUAUAUGAGUUAUGCUACUGGCAACAGUUGGAUGAAAUCUAGAUAUGUUUUUAAACUGGAAUCAAUAGUAGAGCAGAUGAAGAAGAGGAUCAAAUCAGUAA